AUGGCAAACUUCUCUUACUUUUGUUUCCCUACUACUGAACUGACAGAAAUAGAAGCAUGGAAGCUUUGUAAGCAAGAGAGGCUUGAACAGAUUAUGGACUCAGAUCUGGGUUGGAAUUGCUCAUACACUGAAAUGCAAGAAGAAAUGAAGUUUUUCAGGACUUGUUCCACAGAAUAUGAAGUGAUUUGUAUACAGGCAAAAGGUGGACAGACCAGCUGGAAAGCAGAAGAGAAUAACAGAAACAAGUUUUAAUUGCUCAAAACAAGAGAAAUUUAUUUAAAGAUGAAUCCCUGUGGAGGUUUUGUGAAGAAGGAUUAAAACCUUCAGACAUUGGACAGAAGACCUAAGCCAUGCACUCGGCAUAAAGGAGACCUAAUAUCCCUUCCUAGCUUUUAAAUUCCUUUUCACCCUUCACAGAACAUAGACCCACUCUAUUUCCUCUCUUCACUCCAGCAAAGCUGCUUUUCUAUAAAAGUCUGACAGACUUUAAAAACAAGGGUAUCCCCAUCACCCAUAAAAUAAGAAGACACAUCAAGGAAGUGCCUCACUUUAGAAAUUUUUCCACAGAAUUUGGAACUAUACAGCACAGAAAGAAGUCACUGCUGUCUGGUUUUGCUUUUUUUGUAGAGUUAUGAAUAGUUUCAGCUGCUCAUAAGAGAAAUGCUGCUGUUUAACAGCUACCCAAGCCUCCUCUCAUUUUGUAAGCACUUUUGUUUAUGCUGAAACAGGAAAAGAAAUUAUUUCAAACCAAUAAACAGCAUAAAUAAAAGGAACA
This 775-nucleotide long non-coding RNA is filed under the name Cyanistes caeruleus (blue tit). Its description in RNAcentral is "lncRNA (ENSCCEG00000013687.1)". The record is from RNAcentral. Lineage: Eukaryota; Metazoa; Chordata; Aves; Passeriformes; Paridae.